Molecule: transfer RNA, 89 nt
Filed under: Brachyspira hyodysenteriae WA1
Lineage: Bacteria; Pseudomonadati; Spirochaetota; Spirochaetia; Brachyspirales; Brachyspiraceae
Description: tRNA-Leu
Source: RNAcentral
ACUGUGCCGAGAGAGGGACUCGAACCCUCACUGAGUUGCCUCAGGCAGAUUUUGAGUCUGCUGCGUCUACCAAUUUCGCCAUCUCGGCA